This is a non-coding RNA of Parasteatoda tepidariorum (common house spider), 351 nucleotides long. NCBI's taxonomy places the organism in Eukaryota, Metazoa, Arthropoda, Arachnida, Araneae, Theridiidae. The record is from RefSeq and is a predicted model, not a curated record.
AAUCAUUUUAGUGUGCAUUGAAUAAAUAUGGUAAUUUAAAUGCUUUUUUGAAAAUUCUUUUCAUUAAUUUCUGAAAAUUAGGGAUUUGAAGAUUGUGAAAUACUGGCUGAACUGCUGGAAGCUUAUAGUUAUGAACCCAAAAAUGUCCUUCCUUUGUUUUCGGAAAGACGACACCAAGACGCAGAAUCAAUAUGUGAUUUAGCUAUGUACAACUAUGUUGAGAUGAGACACUUGGUGACUUCGAAAAAAUUUUUACUAAGGAAGAAGUUGGAUAAUGCAUUGAACAAACUUUUCCCUAAAUCCUGGAUUCCUUUAUACACAAUGGUUACAUUUUCAAAGCUGCGCUAUUCU